This 824-nucleotide ribosomal RNA is filed under the name uncultured Bacteroidota bacterium. RNAcentral describes it as "bacterial SSU rRNA". It matches the Rfam family "Bacterial small subunit ribosomal RNA", at positions 60 to 890 of the family's 1533-position model. The record is from RNAcentral. Lineage: Bacteria; Pseudomonadati; Bacteroidota.
AGUCGAGGGGUAUAGGUUUUCGGAUCUAGAGACCGGCGCACGGGUGCGUAACGCGUAUGCAAUCUACCUUUUGCAGAGGGAUAGCCCAGAGAAAUUUGGAUUAAUACCUCAUAGUAUGCAGAGUUGGCAUCAACACUGCAUUAAAGUCACAACGGCAAAAGAUGAGCAUGCGUCCCAUUAGCUAGUUGGUAAGGUAACGGCUUACCAAGGCUACGAUGGGUAGGGGUCCUGAGAGGGAGAUCCCCCACACUGGUACUGAGACACGGACCAGACUCCUACGGGAGGCAGCAGUGAGGAAUAUUGGACAAUGGGCGCAAGCCUGAUCCAGCCAUGCCGCGUGCAGGAUGACGGUCCUAUGGAUUGUAAACUGCUUUUGCACAGGAAGAAACAACGCUACGUGUAGCGUCUUGACGGUACUGUGAGAAUAAGGAUCGGCUAACUCCGUGCCAGCAGCCGCGGUAAUACGGAGGAUCCAAGCGUUAUCCGGAAUCAUUGGGUUUAAAGGGUCCGUAGGCGGUUUAGUAAGUCAGUGGUGAAAGCCCAUCGCUCAACGGUGGAACGGCCAUUGAUACUGCUAAACUUGAAUUAUUAGGAAGUAACUAGAAUAUGUAGUGUAGCGGUGAAAUGCUUAGAGAUUACAUGGAAUACCAAUUGCGAAGGCAGGUUACUACUAAUGGAUUGACGCUGAUGGACGAAAGCGUGGGUAGCGAACAGGAUUAGAUACCCUGGUAGUCCACGCCGUAAACGAUGGAUACUAGCUGUUGGGAGCGAUCUCAGUGGCUAAGCGAAAGUGAUAAGUAUCCCACCUGGGGAGUACGUUCGCA